AUGAUGCUUUUGACAAGUCUGUAGUUCAACUUGUCAAGAGGCUUCCUAAGAUCAGUGAUGCAGAUCUCACCAGUGGAAACAUUGAGAUCAAGCAUCCAUGUCUGAAUUCUGGUUACAAGGAGCAAUAUAUCUGUACUCACUGUUUUUCCCUAUACCAAGAAGGUGGCAAUCCUUCUAGUGGGAGAGAAGUUGCAAGUAAAGGGGGAAAG
This 209-nucleotide unclassified non-coding RNA is filed under the name Hevea brasiliensis (rubber tree). The record is from RNAcentral. Lineage: Eukaryota; Viridiplantae; Streptophyta; Magnoliopsida; Malpighiales; Euphorbiaceae.